Molecule: ribosomal RNA, 332 nt
Filed under: uncultured Coriobacteriales bacterium
Lineage: Bacteria; Bacillati; Actinomycetota; Coriobacteriia; Coriobacteriales
Description: partial 16S ribosomal RNA
Source: RNAcentral
GGAGUCUGGGCCGUGUCUCAGUCCCAAUGUGGCCGAUCACCCUCUCAGGUCGGCUACCGAUCGUUGACUUGGUGGGCCGUUACCUCACCAACUAUCUAAUCGGACGCGAGCUCACCCUUCACCGGAUUGCUCCUUUGACCUCUCUUCCAUGCGGAAGCGUGGUCUUAUGCGGUAUUAGAACACCUUUCGGUAUCUUAUCCCCCUGUGAAGGACAGAUUGCUCACGCGUUACUCACCCGUCCGCCGCUAAAACAUAAGAUCUUCCGGCCGAAGCUUUCCGUUCUUAUGUCUCCGCUCGACUUGCAUGUGUUAGGCACGCCGCCAGCGUUCGUC